Molecule: ribosomal RNA, 420 nt
Filed under: Fusobacteriota bacterium
Lineage: Bacteria; Fusobacteriati; Fusobacteriota
Description: Fusobacteria bacterium partial 16S ribosomal RNA
Rfam family: Bacterial small subunit ribosomal RNA
Source: RNAcentral
UGGGGGAUAUUGCACAAUGGGCGAAAGCCUGAUGCAGCGACGCCGCGUGGGGGAUGAAGGCCUUCGGGUUGUAAACUUCUUUUGCUCUGAACAAGGCAUGCCUUUGGGGUGUGUUGAGUGUAGGGGUUGAUUAGCGCCGGCUAACUACGUGCCAGCAGCCGCGGUAAUACGUAGGGCGCGAGCGUUGUCCGGAAUUAUUGGGCGUAAAGGGCUUGUAGGUGGCUGGUUGCGUCUGUCGUGAAAGCUCAUGGCUUAACUGUGGGUUUGCGGUGGGUACGGGCUGGCUUGAGUGCAGUAGGGGAGGCUGGAAUUCCUAGUGUAGCGGUGGAAUGCGCGGAUAUCAGGAGGAAUACCGGUGGCGAAGGCGGGUCUCUGGGCUGUUACUGACGCUGAGGAGCGAAAGCGUGGGGAGCGAACAGG